Molecule: long non-coding RNA, 261 nt
Filed under: Homo sapiens (human)
Lineage: Eukaryota; Metazoa; Chordata; Mammalia; Primates; Hominidae
Description: LHRI_LNC420.1
Source: RNAcentral
CCAAAAGUGCUGGGAUUAGAGGUGUGAGCCACUGCGCCUGGCCCUAAAAACUCUUGAACAAAGAAAUGUGGUGAGCUUCCCAGCUGGUGAACACAUCCACCAUGGGAAGAUGGUGUGGUGUACCCCAACUCCAUGGGGACAGAGACUCCUGCACUUGGGAUCCUUCUGGACCUCAUUCUACAUACCUCUUCACCUGGCUGUUCAUCCCUUUAUUAUAUAUAUAUAUCUUUUUUUGAGGCAGAGUCUGGCUCUGUCGCCUAG